UGGCGAACGGGUGAGUAACACGUGGGUGAUCUGCCCUGCACUUCGGGAUAAGCCUGGGAAAUUGGGUCUAAUACCGGAUAGGACGAUGGUUUGGAUGCCAUUGUGGAAAGUUUUUCGGUGUGGGAUGAGCUCGCGGCCUAUCAGCUUGUUGGUGGGGUAAUGGCCUACCAAGGCGUCGACGGGUAGCCGGCCUGAGAGGGUGUACGGCCACAUUGGGACUGAGAUACGGCCCAG
This 234-nucleotide ribosomal RNA is filed under the name uncultured Actinomycetales bacterium. Its description in RNAcentral is "partial 16S ribosomal RNA". It matches the Rfam family "Bacterial small subunit ribosomal RNA", at positions 96 to 334 of the family's 1533-position model. The record is from RNAcentral. Lineage: Bacteria; Bacillati; Actinomycetota; Actinomycetes; Actinomycetales.